GAUGAACGCUGGCGGCGUGCCUAAUACAUGCAAGUCGAGCGAACGGACGAGAAGCUUGCUUCUCUGAUGUUAGCGGCGGACGGGUGAGUAACACGUGGAUAACCUACCUAUAAGACUGGGAUAACUUCGGGAAACCGGAGCUAAUACCGGAUGAUAUUUUGAACCGCAUGGUUCAAAAGUGAAAGACGGUCUUGCUGUCACUUAUAGAUGGAUCCGCGCUGCAUUAGCUAGUUGGUAAGGUAACGGCUUACCAAGGCAACGAUGCAUAGCCGACCUGAGAGGGUGAUCGGCCACACUGGAACUGAGACACGGUCCAGACUCCUACGGGAGGCAGCAGUAGGGAAUCUUCCGCAAUGGGCGAAAGCCUGACGGAGCAACGCCGCGGGAGUGAUGAAGGUCUUCGGAUCGUAAAACUCUGUUAUUAGGGAAGAACAUAUGUGUAAGUAACUGUGCACAUCUUGACGGUACCUAAUCAGAAAGCCACGGCUAACUACGG
Molecule: ribosomal RNA, 496 nt
Filed under: uncultured bacterium
Lineage: Bacteria
Description: partial 16S ribosomal RNA
Rfam family: Bacterial small subunit ribosomal RNA
Source: RNAcentral